Molecule: long non-coding RNA, 2256 nt
Organism: Bombyx mori (domestic silkworm)
Lineage: Eukaryota; Metazoa; Arthropoda; Insecta; Lepidoptera; Bombycidae
Exons: 3
Source: RefSeq, a predicted model, not a curated record
AUGGGAUCUGCAAUCAAUCAAAUACCUUAUUAGCCCACUAACAUGUCUCGAUGACGCUAUACGGUGUUCCCGUGUAGUGCCACACCGACCCGCGCACAAUUGCGGUCAGGGCGGUUCGCGGGUAGCCUACCGUCUCGUUGGAGGCGGCGUGCUCGCCAGAACGCCUCUCUGUGACUUGGUCGCGGAGACAAUCCGAGUUCACCCAGUCCGAGAGUACUCUCGGACUGGGUGAAACGCGACCGAGAACGUCUCACCGUCCGGGCGAUGCAGAUGAUCUCGGAACAGGCUGUUUCGGCCGCUACCUGCACGUCGCCUGGAGGCGCACACGCUCGCGUGCUGCCCCGCUUUCGCAGAGCAGCGCCGUUGAAAGAAUAGCACCGGAAUUGUCGCUUCCGACCAUCGUGGCUAUGAUGCCCGGCAGCAGCGAGUCCUGGCAAGCGACGCUCAACUUCUGCGAGUCCACCGUCUCGCAGAAAGAGGGUGCGGAAAAGCAGAGGGAGAGCUCUUCUUCCUUCUUGGUGUCGUACAAAUUACUUUGAAAGAGCAACCCGCAGCUGUAUCACGUAUUUCGCAGACAAUUAGCAGAAGACAAAUAUUGUGCAAAUAUUGCUGUCAACUGUCCAUUUCGUAUUACGGACUUACAACAAAAAAGCAGAUCGCGGACCAUCACUAGUGCUGCCUCUGCAGAGCGAUUUGUGAAACUUUAGUGCAUUCUUUUCCAUACAACUAACAACAACUGGCCUAAAGUCGGUAUUACGGAUGCUUUUGUCUGCCACACAACAGCAGAUAUUUAGCAAUUUCGUUUGUCAAAUUUGCGACACCUUUUGUAUCUGGUGCUGAAUUGUUGCUAACUAUCUGCAAGUGUAAAAUUUGUGAAAUUAAAUUAUUUUAACUUGAUUUAGGUAAGUGUAAUUGGUUUAGAUCUUUAUUUGUGUUUGUAUUUUCCAUAGUAUUAACAUUAAAUACCACGCUGGGCAAUUUAAGUACAUUAAUAAUGUUGAGGUUAUAAAGUUUAUUUUUUACAAAUUAAUAUUUCUUCUAGGUAUGUACUAUGGACAGAGCUCAAAUAAUAAAUGGGGCUUUGGAGUCUAAGGAACUUAGGUCGGAUACAUACGAAUCAGUGCGUUUGCGACGCUGUCUUCGUGAUCAAGCCUGACCCCUUAAUCUAUCGGAAAGUUUGUUCAGAACACAUUACAGAAUUUCGAAACAUCAAUAUUUACAAUUGUGCUCUGAAUUAAAGCCGUUAAUAACCUAGAUCAUCAAGACGAACAAGAAUAGAAAGUAAAAUGCAAGGUGUUAACAGCAUUGCAAAAUUUCAUACCAGAAACCUGUGGGAAUGAGCUUUUUGCAUUUUGAGUUAAACUGUAGUAAAUCCAAUGCCAUUAGGGAAGUGGCUAUGGCAUUAAACAAUCUUCCAGUUUUAUUGAAACAUUUAAAGUUUCUGCAAACAGUACAAUGGGUCACAAGUUAUUAAAAAUGGGUUUUACAAUAAAUUUGGCUUUCCUGGGGUUUUGGGGUGUAUAGAUGGCACUCAUUUGCACUUAUCAGAUCUUCUGUAUAUGAAGAAAGGUUUUAGAACCGCAAGCAUUAUCAUUUCAAGAAUGUGCAAAUAGUAAGUAUUUUGCUGAAGCCUAUCAUUCACAAUAACAAACAUUUGAUAGUACUUAUUUAAAGAAUUACAUUUUUCAGAUCUGUGAUAGUGAUCUUAACAUUUUAAGUAUUGAUGCAACAUUUCAUGAUACAUUUCGGCUGUGAAAUAUCAAAACCCAGUAUCUGCAUAAAACUAAAUUUUACAGGAGAGCCGAAAAACAAUUUCAUAUCUUUGACAGCGUGCCGUUUCAAUAAUAUUAGUCGUACCUUCUUGAGAGUGAUUGCAAAAUUUGAGGUGCAUAACAGGCUUUAUAAAAAAGUAGAUUUCAUGCGUCUAUCACAAAAGAUGUGCGUAGAGGAGCAGUUACUAAUAAAAAGAUUGUUUUCUUAGAUCAAACUUUUUGAGUGUGACAAUUUCAAAACCUAGUAAGAUCACUUGCUUUGUUUUCAUCUAAUUCUAAAAUAUAAUGAGUGGGGAUAAACGCAAAUUAAUAGACUUAGUAAGAUCACUUGCUUUGUUUUCAUUUAGGUCUGAAUUUACUGAGUAGGAACUAAAUGCAAUUUUUUAAACAUAGUAAGAAAAAACAGAAUAAAACAACAUAAAUAUGGGCAGAAAUAAGCAGUUUUAAUGAAAAAGAAAAAAAAAACACAUAAUCGGAAACCAAA